UGCAGCCGCGCACCACCACAGCAGGUUAAAUUUUGUAUUUUUAGUACAGAUGAGGUUUCACCAUGCUGGUCUCGAACUCCUGACCUCAUGAUCCGCCCACCUCAGCCUCCCAAAGUGCUGGGAUUAUAGGCGUGAGCCACCGCGCCUGGCCUCAUCACUCUUAAAUAAUGAAAAACUAAAUUUUUAGAGGAAAAAGAAAAUCACAGGACCCUGUGAAGGAAGGUGGAGAAAGUGGUGAUUCUGAAGGUGUUUCAGGAUAUUUCGCUAAGUAAUUUAUGAAAGGGAAAACUAUUUUUCAUGAGCAUCAGAGGAGAGAUAUUGUACCCACUCUUCAGAGACAGAAACUGAAAUUCAAAGAGAGU
Molecule: small RNA, 362 nt
Filed under: Pan troglodytes (chimpanzee)
Lineage: Eukaryota; Metazoa; Chordata; Mammalia; Primates; Hominidae
Description: processed transcript
Source: RNAcentral